AAUAGAUACCCGGGUAGUCCACGCCGUAAACGAUGAAUACUAGGUGUAGGGGUUGUCAUGACCUCUGUGCCGCCGCAAACGCAUUAAGUAUUCCGCCUGGGGAGUACGGUCGCAAGAUUAAAACUCAAAGGAAUUGACGGGGGCCCGCACAAGCAGCGGAGCAUGUGGUUUAAUUCGAAGCAACGCGAAGAACCUUACCUAGACUUGACAUCUCCUGAAUUACUCUUAAUCGAGGAAGUCCCUUCGGGGACAGGAAGACAGGUGGUGCAUGGUUGUCGUCAGCUCGUGUCGUGAGAUGUUGGGUUAAGUCCCGCAACGAGCGCAACCCUUAUUGUUAGUUGCUACCAUUAAGUUGAGCACUCUAGCAAGACUGCCCGGGUUAACCGGGAGGAAGGUGGGGAUGACGUCAAAGUCAUCAUGCCCCCUUAUGUCUAGGGCUACACACGUGCUACAAUGGCAAGUACAAAAGAUGCAAUACCGCAAGGUGGAGCUAAACUUAAAAACUUGUCUCAGUUCGGAUUGUAGGCUGAAACUCGCCUACA
This 542-nucleotide ribosomal RNA is filed under the name uncultured bacterium. RNAcentral's name for it is "bacterial SSU rRNA". It matches the Rfam family "Bacterial small subunit ribosomal RNA", at positions 777 to 1320 of the family's 1533-position model. The record is from RNAcentral.